CUUAUCCUUGCCAGCUGUUAAUGUUCUUGACCUGGAUUUCGCAAACCUGACCUCGGAAGAACUACCCAAUUUAAAACGUGUCAAACUGACCACCACCAUUCGUACCCCAUUUGUAGAGAGAUCCCUCCCAAACUAUCUCUUUAUGGUUAUGCCGUCAAGGACUAUGGUAAUAGAAGAUUUAGAGAUCGGACAACUCGUCGGAUAUCUCGCAAGAUCGGUUUUUCCAAAUUUGCCUUGAAACACUUGACCAUUCAAGUUUCUGGAGUAUUGGAUGAAUCCACAGAUCUUGAUGGCUGGAAAGGAUUUUUCAGAAAUUUGUACCAAUCCCCGAUAAACAUAUCGCGAUUGACAAUUUAUAUGGGAAUCUGGUCAUCAUUUUCUAAUUUAAUGGGGGCGAUGGAUGUUAUGGAUGACCUAAAUCCAGUGGAGGAUCUCAAGUGUCAGCAUCAUUAAUGGAGCCCCCCAAACUCACAAUUACCAAUAUGACUCACAACGCACCAAGUUCGAAAAUGUGUUUCGAACUUGGCAGCCAAAUUUAUCCUUUGUGGGAUACGAGUUCAAACUUCCCGCGGCUACUCGAAUGAAGAAAUUCAUCAAGGAAAAUAAUUUGGGCGUUAGUUUUGUAGACAAAAUUGAUCACUGAUACAAGUUCUACCGUAGAUAUUGGCUUGUGAAACUGCUCGUCAGGAAGCAAUGACGAUAUUAAAAUA
Molecule: long non-coding RNA, 710 nt
Organism: Folsomia candida
Lineage: Eukaryota; Metazoa; Arthropoda; Collembola; Entomobryomorpha; Isotomidae
Exons: 3
Source: RefSeq, a predicted model, not a curated record